This 1352-nucleotide ribosomal RNA is filed under the name uncultured marine eukaryote. RNAcentral's name for it is "SSU rRNA". It matches the Rfam family "Eukaryotic small subunit ribosomal RNA", at positions 411 to 1775 of the family's 1831-position model. The record is from RNAcentral.
CACUUCUAAGGAAGGCAGCAGGCGCGCAAAUUGCCCAACCCUGACUCAGGGAGGUAGUGACAAGAAAUAACAAUAAACCGGCUUAUGCCGGUUUAAUUGGAAUGAGUACAAUUUAAACAUCUUAACGAGGAACAAUUGGAGGGCAAGUCUGGUGCCAGCAGCCGCGGUAAUUCCAGCUCCAAUAGCGUAUACUAAAGUUGUUGCAGUUAAAAAGCUCGUAGUUGGAUUUCUGUGGGGACGGAGCGGCCGGCCGCAACACGCGGUUCGAGCUAGCGCUUUCCCUACAUCCUGCCGCGAACCGUGCUACCAUUGAUUUGGUGGCGCCGGGGAUCGGCUCGAUUACUUUGAGAAAAAUAGAGUGUUCAAAGCAGGCCACAUGCCUUGAAUAAGUUAGCAUGGAAUAAUAACUAAGGACUUCGGUUCUAUUUUGUUGGUGUUCGGGACUGAAGUAAUGAUUGAUAGGGACAGUUGGGGCGGUCUGUACUCCAAAGCGAGAGGUGAAAUUCUUAGACCUUCGGAAGACAAACAGCUGCGAAAGCGUUCCGCAAGGAUGUUCCCUUUGAUCAAGAACGAAAGUUGGGGGAUCGAAGACGAUCAGAUACCGUCGUAGUCUCAACUAUAAACUAUACCAGCUAGGGAUCGGCCAACGUUAUUUUAUACCGACUUGGUCGGCACCUUAUGAGAAAUCAAGGCAUCUGGGUUCCGGGGGGAGUAUGGUCGCAAGGCUGAAACUUAAAGGAAUUGACGGAAGGGCACCACCAGCCGUGGAGCCUGUGGCUUAAUUUGACUCAACACGGGAAAACUUACCAGGUCCAGACAUAGUAAGGAUUGACAGAUUGAUAGCUCUUUCUUGAUUCUGUGGGUGGUGGUGCAUGGCCGUUCUUAGUUGGUGGAGUGAUUUGUCUGGUUAAUUCCGUUAACGAACGAGACCCCAGCCUGCUAAAUAGCGCGUGUGAGCUUUGCUCGCAGCGAGCUUCUUAGAGGGACUAUGAUGCGCGAUAGCACAUGGAAGUUUGGGGCAAUAACAGGUCUGUGAUGCCCUUAGAUGUUCUGGGCCGCACACGGGCUACACUGGCGCCUGCAACGAGCAUAUCAGCUGGCCCGAGAGGGUCUUGGCUAAUCUUUUGAACCGGCGCCGUGCUUGGGAUUGACCUUUGCAAUUGUUGGUCAUGCAACGAGGAAUGCCUUGUAAACGCGAGUCAUCAGCUCGCAUUGAAUACGUCCCUGCCCUUUGUACACACCGCCCGUCGCUCCUACCGAUGAAUGUUCCGAUGAAAUUUUCGGAGAGUGCCUGUGAACUUGGCUCUGCCUUGCGAACGGGAAGCUCAAAGUCACUUAAAUCUGAACAUUUC